Non-coding RNA from Cyanistes caeruleus (blue tit), 5188 nucleotides. The record is from RefSeq and is a predicted model, not a curated record. NCBI's taxonomy places the organism in Eukaryota, Metazoa, Chordata, Aves, Passeriformes, Paridae.
UGUGUGGGGACAGGAGUCGCCGGGAGGAAAGGGGAAGCCCAUUGGGCAACCAUACCCGCACGGCCGGACCUCUGCAGAGCAGUGUGUGUACGCUGCCAUGCCGGCCACCAUCCCUCUGCAGCAUCUGGCUUUGUUUGUGACUGAGUGUUUUGCAGGUUUAUUUUUAACAGGAUUAUGAUACUCUUUUUCCAGUCAGAUUUUUGCAUGUCGCCAGUGAAUCCCCCAGAAUAACACCUCUUGAAGAAGAGGCAAAGCCAUUUUUUAAAAUGAGUUUCUUCUGAGCGUAUGUCUAGGAAGCGCCAUCAGGAAGUUGUGCUUAGCAGAGUCAGGCACCCAUCAACAACUGCCUGCUGCUCCUACACCAUGUAUAUGUAAUGCCAUGUAUAGAGGAGAUGAAAGAGCUUGUUCUGCCCAAGCUGGAAGAACUCUGUGGAACCACUUGGCAUUGCUUCAUUUUGAUCAGCGGGUCACCGACAUAAGAUUGUCUGCUGAUGUUCUGUGGAAGUGUUGACUUACUGUUAUCCAUCAAUUGAAGAACAAAUAAAGUGCAAGUUUAUCUUUUUGUUUCCCUUUUCAAUGUGUGGAGGAUCACAGCAGUCUGCAGCAGUCCAAAGAUGGCAUAGAAACAUGGGCAACUUGGUUUCUAAGUAUUUUUGUCUGGUUCUGUUGGUAAUGAGAUACAUCCACAAGAGCAGUUAAGACUAAUCUCACUUACAUACACCAAGACCAUUGCAAUCCAUUUAUUUUCAGAAUCAGGAAAGUAAUGGGCUUUGAACAGGGGAAUAAACCUAAUAAUGGCUUCAUGUCACAUUCGGGUCUGCUCUCUAGCUUGGCUAGUAGCAGUUGCAUAUGGAGUGAACAGUCUGGUGCCUGAAGAUGGACAAUAUUGAGUCAUGCUGUGGUGCUGUUUUUGAUUUGUGAAAUUCUCAUGUCCAGCUCCAGAAGACGAUUUUUAUGGAUUAGAAGACCAUGCAGAUGAUUGCAGUGCUCUGUCAGCAGACUGUGUUUGCCUGCAGAGCUCCAGAACUCUGUCCAUCUUCAUAAGAAGAUAAAGCCUGUGCUGUAGAAAAGACUGAAUUGUUGCUGCUGCUCUCAAGUAUAUUAAAGCUACUUCAUAUUGCCGUUGUGGUUAUGCUGCUGUCUGCUUGUGGUGUGCUGCAUGUCUACAGUUAUACCUGCAUUACCGAAUUCUUGGGAAGAGCUGGAAGCUAAUGCUUGGAUAAGCCAGAGCCUCUUGUCCAUCGUGAACAAAGAGCCUUAACUACCCAUGAGUUCCUGUUUGGUGCCCUUGCAGAACUUGUAGAUAACGCCAGAGAUGCAGAUGCCACGAGAAUAGACAUUUAUACUGAUCCCAUUUUGUGGAACUUUUAACUUCUGCUUAUGGGAGCAGUGAGUAAGUCUUCCCUUGCAGAGCGACGAGAGGACCUGCGAGGUGGAUUCAUGCUAUGUUUUUUGGAUGAUGGAACAGGAAUGGAUUCAAAUGAAGCUGCCAGUGUUAUCCAGUUUGGUAAAUCAGCCAAGCGAUCACCUGAGUCCACUCAAAUCGGACAGUAUGGGAACGGCUUGAAAUCGGGUUCCAUGCGGAUUGGGAAGGAUUUUAUCCUGUUCACAAAGAAGGAUAACACCAUGACUUGCCUCCUCUUGUCACGGACGUUCCAUGAGGAAGAAGGCAUCAAUGAGGUUAUUGUUCCCCUACCUACCUGGAACACACGGAGCUGUGAACCCGUGACGGACAACAUGGAGAAAUUUGCUAUCGAGACGGAGCUUAUUUACAAGUAUUCCCCUUUCAAAUCAGAACGGGAAGUGAUGGACCAAUUCAAUAAGAUAUGUGGUGAGAAAGGCACCCUGGUGAUCAUCUUUAACCUCAAACUAAUGGAUAAUGGAGAGCCAGAGCUGGAUGUGACUUCUGACCCUCAAGAUAUUCAGAUGGCAGAAACACCCCCAGAGGGAACCAAGCCGGAGCGCCGCUCCUUUCGUGCCUAUGCUGCUGUGCUUUAUAUUGAUCCCAGGAUGAGGAUCUUCAUCAACGGACACAAAGUACAAACCAAACGACUCUCAUGCUGCCUCUACAAGCCAAGGAUGUACAAAUACACUUCAAACCGUUUCAAGACCCGUGCAGAGCAAGAGGUGAAAAAAGCAGAGCACAUGGCGAGGAUAGCGGAAGAGAAGGCUCGUGAGGCAGAGAGCAAAGCCCGUGCCCUCGAGCUACGCCUUGGAGGGGAUCUCACUCGGGAGUCUAGGGUGACACUGCGUCAGGUCCAGAACUUGGCCAUCACCAUGCGGCAGGAGGCUGACGUCAAGAAAAGGAUUAAGGACGCAAAGCAGCGGGCACUGAAGGAACCCAAGGAGCUGAAUUUUAUCUUUGGAGUAAACAUCGAGCAACGUGAGCUGGAUGGCAUGUUCAUUUAUAACUGCAGUCGGCUGAUCAAGAUGUAUGAGAAGGUGGGCCCACAGCUGGAGGGUGGCAUGGCAUGUGGAGGAGUGGUAGGUGUGGUGGAUGUGCCCUAUUUGGUUCUGGAGCCAACCCAUAAUAAACAAGACUUUGCUGAUGCCAAGGAAUAUCGACACUUGCUGAAGGCCAUGGGAGAGCAUUUGGCUCAGUAUUGGAAGGAUGUCGCAAUAGCCCAGAGAGGUAUCAUCAAAUUCUGGGAUGAAUUUGGUUAUUUAUCAGCAAACUGGAACCAGCCUCCAUCUAGUGAACUGCGCUACAAACGCCGGAGAGCCAUGGAGAUCCCCACCACGAUUCAGUGCGAUGUCUGUCUGAAGUGGCGGACUCUCCCGUUCCAGCUGAGCUCAGUGGAGAAGAACUACCCUGACAGCUGGGUGUGCUCCAUGAACCCUGAUCCUGAACAAGACAGAUGUGAGGCUGCAGAGCAGAAGCAGAAGGUACCACUGGGAACUCUAAAAAAAGAUUUGAAAACAAAUAAGGAAAAGCAGAAGCAACUGACAGAGAAAAUCCACCAGCAGCAGGAAAAGCUGGAAGUUCUGCAGAAAACCACUUCAAUUCGCUCUCAGUCUGACUUAAAGAAACUGCCUCUGGAAGUGACCACACGGCCUUCAAGGGAGCACACCCGAGCUCAGCGCCCACGAUCUCCGCCUUUGCCUGAUGUCAUAAAGAAUGCUCCCAGCAGACCACCAGGAUCUUCACCUCCUCCCAAGUACUGCAGUCAGCUGAAAAAGAGCUCUUCAGAUCAUCCAAAUACCAGCUCUCCCAAGCUAGCCAGCAUGCUCUUCAAGGAGGAGGCCAGCACUUCCAGGACAUACCAUCACACUGUGACAUCUGGGAAGUCUAACAGCACUUUAAAAACUCUUGCCAAAUCAGGUACAAGCAUGAAGCCCCUCUCUGGUCUGCAGAGCCCCAAAAGCCCACGUGAGACACCCAAUCCAAAAGCUGCCAAGGUGCCAGCAGUAAGGAAAUCUGCCCCUGGCAGAUGUUUACAGGCCUCCAGCACUCGAAAGAGGGCCUUGAACAUCCCAGAGGAUGGGUCUGAGGAGGAGGGGGAACCCAAAAAGGAGAGGACAAAACGAGGAAAAUUUUUGGCGGUGAAAGAAGAGAAGGAUUCCAGUGAGGUGGUGGUGGAGCUCACAGACAGUGCUGGAGAGGAAGAGUUGUUGGAACUGAAGAAAGCACAGAAAGACAAGGGGCUGCACGUGGAGGUGCGUGUGAACAAGGAAUGGUUCACAGGCCGUGUCACAGCUGUUGAAAAGGUCAGGCACGCAAUCCGGUGGAAGGUGAAGUUUGACUAUGUCCCUACAGACACCACACCAAGGGAUCGCUGGGUAGAGAAAGGCAGUGAGGAUGUAAGGCUUAUGAAGCCUCCCUCUCCUGAGUACCAGGCUCCAGACACACAACAGGAAGAGGAAGUGGUCAUGGCUGAACCUUCUACCUCAGACUGCGUCAGAAUUGAGCCUGACACCACUGGUCCCAGCAGCAGCCAAGAAACAGUUGACUUGCUUGUCCAGAUCCUUCGGAAUUGUUUGCGAUACUUCUUGCCUCCAAAUUUUCCAAUCUCCAAGAAUGAGCUGAGUUCCAUGAGCUCAGAAGGGUUGUUGGCAUUUCCCUUGGUGAGUUCAGUACUUCUAGAAAAAAAGAAUAUUUUAAGCAGUAUGAGAUGGGUCUGCAGAACCUGUGCAAUUCAUAUCAGACACGUGCCGAUGCUCGGGCCAAAGCCUGUGAGGAAAACCUCCGGAACUCAGAGAGGAAGCUGAAGGAAACGGAGGAGAAACUGCAGAAGCUUAGGACUAAUAUCAUGGCCCUUUUGCAGAAAGUGCAGGAGGACAUUGAUAUUAAUACAGAUGAUGAACUGGAUGCAUAUAUCGAGGACUUGAUCAUGAAAGGAGACUGAACAGCUCCAGUACAAGUCCUGGAGAAGUGCAGAAGAGAUGGCUGCUACAAUGGGAGAUGUGGAUCUCUGUGCAGGUGGACUGGGGCAGCUGAUGAGGAGAGAGUUUUUUAGACAGCGCUCAUGUUGAUGUACAACUUGUUCCUGUGACUGUACAUGAGAAACAUUUGUGCUGUUUGCAGGAAAUUUUUUAACUUUGUAGUUCUCCAAAUCUCUUCCUUUUGUUUAUAAAUAUUUAUUUUUAAAAGAAAUGGGAACUGUGCCUGAUAUGAUGGGUGUUUUUAGUGAUGUAGAAGUGUGAGUACCCUUUUUGCUACGCGAGUAUAUUCAUAUGCUAAGCCUGGGAGCUCAGAGCACCCUGCUUAGCUUACUGGUUCUUUAGUAAGAACCUGGCAGAAACUUAAAAGUACGCCUUGAGUUGUGGCAGAGGUGGUCAGGGAUUUUUGUGGAAGAUACUGAACUUGGGCUAGAGAAAGUCAAACCAUGAAUUGGAGUUAGGGACAGAAGAUGUCCGUUUAUGAGUGUGAGGGGAUGGAACCUUGGUGGAUCUCAGAAAUUUAGCACUGGCACCUGCUAUGAGCUUCCUGAACAGGAGGUCUCUGCAAGUAGGUGAAACCGCCACCAUGGUAACAGCUGAGAGGCUGAGGGUUCUUACAGAAGAGGAUCUACCUUCUGAUCUACUUGCAGUGGGCUGUGAGCAUCAGAGAAAAGAAUGCUGGAGUUCACAUUCUCUGCUUGUAGUCACUUAAUCACUGACUUCGGCUGCUGUUUCUUUGAGACAUAAUUAUAGUGUCAGAAGAACUUCUUGACUGCCUGACAAUAAAGUGACCCCUGUUCUAUAGUCA